Molecule: ribosomal RNA, 314 nt
Filed under: Staphylococcus aureus
Lineage: Bacteria; Bacillati; Bacillota; Bacilli; Caryophanales; Staphylococcaceae
Description: partial 23S ribosomal RNA
Rfam family: Bacterial large subunit ribosomal RNA
Source: RNAcentral
CUCUCUAGUGACCGAUAGUGAACCAGUACCGUGAGGGAAAGGUGAAAAGUACCCCGGAAGGGGAGUGAAAUAGAACUUGAAACCGUGUGCUUACAAGUAGUCAGAGCCCGUUAAUGGGUGAUGGCGUGCCUUUUGUAGAAUGAACCGGCGAGUUACGAUUUGAUGCAAGGUUAAGCAGUGAAUGUGGAGCCGUAGCGAAAGCGAGUCUGAAUAGGGCGUUGAGUAUUUGGUCGUAGACCCGAAACCAGGUGAUCUACCCUUGGUCAGGUUGAAGUUCAGGUAACACUGAAUGGAGGACCGAACCGACUUACGUU